RNAcentral lists this long non-coding RNA (395 nucleotides) under Dermacentor andersoni. RNAcentral describes it as "uncharacterized LOC126544101". Lineage: Eukaryota; Metazoa; Arthropoda; Arachnida; Ixodida; Ixodidae. The record is from RNAcentral.
UAGUGAACAAUUCAAUAUCGAGAAAUGUAUAUUAGUGUGUGCGACCACAGACAGCGAUGGCGGCAAGUCCUAUAAUAUGUUUCCUGCUCCAGAUUACAUCUUUUGCGGGAUGGCUGCAGAAACACCACAGGCUUGCAUCAGCGGCAUCUGCCGAGAAGUUCCAGCAGCACCAAAGCACAUUCAUAAGUUGUGGAAGGCCACUGUAAAUUAGCAGUACGAAUUGAGGUCCGCUCUACAUAAUAAGUGACAUUUCGGCUUCCAUGAUCGUGGAGAUUCGUUGCGCCGAAAUGAUUCCAAAUGUAAAUCCCCAUGGUGGGUCUUUCGCAGAAUGCGGUACUUUUUUUUAGUGAAAUUGCAAAAUAAGUCAUAUGCAUUAAAACUGGAGUUCUUUUGUA